AGGCGCAAUGAAAGUGGGGCGGCCUCGUGCCGCCGAGGGAGGAUGGCUUCUCCUUUGUGGGAUUGCCCGCACUCCCGGGGCGCCCCGGCUUCGGCCGUGGGCGCACUCGGAGCGUACACGUUGGGACCCGAAAGAUGGUGAACUAUGCCUGGUCAGGACGAAGUCAGGGGAAACCCUGAUGGAGGUCCGCAGCGAUUCUGACGUGCAAAUCGAUCGUCAGAGCUGGGUAUAGGG
Molecule: ribosomal RNA, 234 nt
Filed under: Oxypilus nigericus
Lineage: Eukaryota; Metazoa; Arthropoda; Insecta; Mantodea; Hymenopodidae
Description: partial 28S ribosomal RNA
Rfam family: Eukaryotic large subunit ribosomal RNA
Source: RNAcentral